Molecule: long non-coding RNA, 2160 nt
Filed under: Homo sapiens (human)
Lineage: Eukaryota; Metazoa; Chordata; Mammalia; Primates; Hominidae
Description: HSALNT0379802
Source: RNAcentral
AGAGGCGUCAGGAUCCCUGGCGCCGCCUGAGCCAGCGGCUGCUAGGAGGCUGUGUCCGCAAGCCAGCGGGGCGAGGCGGCUGGGCCCUGCGCGUCAGGUCCCGGCCUGGGGCACCGGGGCUGCCAGCGUCGGAGGAGGCCUGAGAACUGGGAGGAAGCUGGAGAAAAGAUGCCCUCUGAAUCUUUGUGUUUGGCUGCCCAGGCUCGCCUUGACACCGAAUGGUUGAAAACAGAUAUACAGAUGAUAGUGUCGAACCAAGUGGAACAAAGAAAGAAGAUCUGAAUGACAAAGAGAAAAAAGAUGAAGACGAAACUCCUGCACCUGUAUAUAGGGCCAAGUCAAUUCUGGAGACCUGGGUGUGGGUCAAGCAACCAGGAAACGGAAGCCCAAAGAGGAGGGGAGCUUACAGCAGGCCCUGGACUAGGGAUUAACACAAAAACAACAGCAACAAAUCUGAUUUAAGCUUCACACAUUCUUGCUCUGUUGCCAGGCUGGAGUACAGUGGCACAAUCUCGGCUCACUGUCACAAUGUCCGCCUCCAUGGUUCAAGCGAUUCUCCUGCCUCAGCCUCCCUAAUAGCUAGGAAUACAGGCGCAUGACACCACGCCCGGCUCAUUUCUUUUUGUAUUUUUAGUAGAGACGAGAUUUCACCAUGUUGGCCAGGCUGGUUUUGAACUCCAGACCUUGUGAUCCGCCCGCCUCUGCCUCCCAAAGUGCUAGGAUUAGAGGCGUGAGCCACCGCGCCUGGCCUGCAAUUUUCAUCUUUUGGCUGCAAAUAAGUUAUGUCACUAUUCUCAGCUGGGGGAGUGUUUAACUCACAUGUUGCUUCCUCUCUGUUAGACAGGUUUUAAGAUUUAUGAAUAGGUACUGAAUUGUAUCAAUUGCUUUUUUCUUUCUUGAUUGAGCAAUGUUUUUUCUUAUCUUUUUAUGUUGAUAAGGUAACUUAACAGUGAUUGGCUUUUGAAUGUUGAACAUUGCAUUUCUGGAAUUAAAUCAACUUUGUUGUGAUAAAUGAUUAAUACCAUAUUAUGUAUGGUUGAGAUGGGCUUGCUCCUAGUUCAUUUGGUAGUUUUGUACUUAUGUUCACAAGAGAAAGUGGAGUCUAAUUUUUUUUUUUCUGGUGAUUUUUGUUCGUUUGUUUGUUUGUUUGUUUGUUUGUUUUUGCCAUGGAGUCUGGCUCUGUUAUCCAGGCUGGAAUGCAGUGGCGUGAUCUCAACUCAUUGCAAGCUCCACCUUCUGGGUUCAUGCCAUUCUCCUGCUUCAGCCUCCUGAGUAGCUGGGACUACAGGCGCCCAACACCACACCUGGCUAAUUUAUUGUAUUUUUUAGUAGAGACGGGGUUUCACCUUGUUAGCCAGGAUGGUCUCGAUCUCCUGACCUCGUGAUCCACCCGCCUCGGCCUCCCAAAGUGCUGGGAUUACAGGCUUGAGCCACCACGCCCAGACUUGUGAGGUUUUAAUAUGAAGUAUUAAAGCUAUGCUGGUUAGACAAUUUGGAAAAUGUUUCUUCUCCUAUUUCUGACAGAGUUUAUGUAAGAUGUGUGCUAUUUCUUCCUUAAGCAUUUGGAAAGAAUUCACUUAUUAAGCCAUGUGAGACUGUAGUUUUCUUUAUAAGGUGUUUAACUACAGGUUCAAUUACAUAUAUAUAAAUAUUCAUUUUGGUAACCUGUGUUUGCUGAAUCAAUUUGUUCAUUUUAUCGAAAAUUUCAAAGUUAUUCUAUUAUUCAUUUAUCUUUUUAAUACUUAUAAAGUCUCCGGUUAGAGUUUGUGCCUUUUGUCUGUUUUGUUAAUCAAUCUUGCUGGAGGCCAUCAAUUUUAUUAGUGUUUCAAAAAAGCAAACUUUGAUUUUAUUCAUCCCUUUACCAUACUGAAAAUGUUUUGCUUAAUUUCCAAACUUAUAGUUCCACUGUGAUUAAAUAUUUGUAUAACUAAAACUCUGUGGAAUUUGUGUCUUCUCAAUGAUUGAAAAUAUGAUUAAUUUUUAUAAAUAUUGCUUCUGCACUUGAAAAGGAUAUGUAUUCUGCAUGUUGAGCGUAGUGUACCACGUAUCUCAGUUAGGUCCAGUGUGUUAAAUGCAUCCUUUAAAGAUUCUAUGUGCUUACUGAUGUUUGUUUAUUUUUCAGUGGCUGAGACACAGAUAUUAAAGUUUCCCACAAUGAUC